Legionella shakespearei DSM 23087 is the source of this 81-nucleotide small RNA. It matches the Rfam family "Legionella RNA 69". The record is from Rfam. Lineage: Bacteria; Pseudomonadati; Pseudomonadota; Gammaproteobacteria; Legionellales; Legionellaceae.
AGACAAGGCUACCGCCGCUCCGCAGCCCGAACGGAUCGAGGGAAACACUGGCUCAAACAACUUUCUUAUCCGAAACUCACG